CUGAACAUGAAGGUAAGUUUUAAGUAAAGGCUUUUUGAACUUUAUUCAUGAAGAGCUCUGAUGAGAAAGCAGAAGAGUUCAAGAC
Molecule: unclassified non-coding RNA, 85 nt
Filed under: Komagataella phaffii CBS 7435
Lineage: Eukaryota; Fungi; Ascomycota; Pichiomycetes; Pichiales; Pichiaceae
Source: RNAcentral